Molecule: ribosomal RNA, 470 nt
Filed under: uncultured bacterium
Lineage: Bacteria
Description: bacterial SSU rRNA
Rfam family: Bacterial small subunit ribosomal RNA
Source: RNAcentral
GCUGGCGGCAGGCCUCAUACAUGCAAGUCGAACGAGAAAGUAUCUUCGGAUACGAGUACAGUGGCGGACGGGUGAGUAAUACAUAGGAAUCUACCCAAUGAGGGGGAUAGCUCGAGGAAACUCGAAUUAAUACCGCAUAAUCUCCACGGNGUAAAGAGGGCUUCGGCUCUUGCCAUCGGAUGAGCCUAUGCAGGAUUAGCUUGUUGGUAAGGUAAAGGCUUACCAAGGCAACGAUCCUUAGCUGGGUUUGAGAGGAUGACCAGCCACAUCGGGACUGAGACACGGCCCGGACUUCUACGGAAGGCAGCAGUAGGGAAUAUUGGACAAUGAGCGAAAGCUUGAUCCAGCCAUGCCGCGUGUGCGAUGACGGCCCUCGGGUUGUAAAGCACUUUAGGUAACGAGGAAAAGUUAGGUGUUAAUACCAUCUAACCUUGACGUUAAUUACAGAAUAAGCACCGGCUAAAUCCGUG